Long non-coding RNA from Arachis duranensis, 3429 nucleotides. RefSeq lists it as uncharacterized. The record is from RefSeq and is a predicted model, not a curated record. Lineage: Eukaryota; Viridiplantae; Streptophyta; Magnoliopsida; Fabales; Fabaceae. The transcript has 4 exons.
UUAGAAACGAAGAAAGAAGAAAGGGGGGAGUCCGAGGGAGAAGGGAGAUCGGGAAGGGAGGAGGGACCGUGCUGCAUCUUGCCGCCGCACCACCAUCACCGGAGAGAAAGAGAUCUGAGGAAAGCAGAGGAGAGCGGAGAAGAAGACCGCGCUGGCGUGCUGGGCCUUACCGCCGCCGUCGCGUCAUUGUCGAACCAUGGAGAGAGAGAGAGAGCGUUCACGGAAGGAGCCAUGGGAGAGAGUUCGAGCGCAAGCCAGGACUGGGAGGGAGAAGGCACCGUCGUGCAUCCUCUUGCCGUCGCUGGAGAUCUCGUCGUCGCCGCCGAUCGUCCUUGCGCCGCGUCAGAAAUAGAACUGCGAACGGAAGGGAGCGCGAACCAUAGCCACGGACGGAGAAGAAAGAGCGCGCGCGGAGGAGGUGAAGCCGUCAUUGUCACCAUCGCGUGUGGAGUCGCCGCUGCGCCUGGUCUCCGUUGCUGCUGAGCUUCGACCGCCGCCGUUCCUGCCGCCGUUAAGCCUCGGUUAGCACCGCCGAAGCUCCUGCCACCACUGUCGUUGAGGAAGCUCACUGGAGUUGUUGGAGGCUACCGCCGCUGUUCCGGAAAUUUAACUCUGCUUGAGCCGUCUCUGCUGUAAUCCUCACUGCUCGCUGUAAUCAUGUCUCAGUGUUUACCCUAGCUUGUGGUUAGUACGGGCAACCGCAGAAGCUUUCAGAGUUAUUGAUGCUCCUGCCAAGGUUUUCUUUCUUCUGAUAGAAAACAAUGAGGAGAUUCUUCCAUUUUGCACACAGAUUCUCCAGUUCCAGGCUUAGUGGUAUUAAUUUCUUAAAUUCAUGCUAAAUGAUAUACAUAUAGUGGUCUAAUUUUUUUGGCAAUUAACUUAAUUGAACAUAACUUGCAUAAAAAAUGUAUUGCUUUUGUAAUGCCUAAUUAGAAUCUCCUGAAUAGAUUCCCAACUGGCCAUGUGGUGUGCAAUACUUAAAUCCUUCAAAUAAAUUUGUCUUGUGCAUAUAUAGGAAAUUCUUAUCAUCAUGUAAGGAGCAGAUGUAAGUUCAGUGGCACAUAUAUAGUAAUUAAACUAAUUGUCAUUAUUCUGAUAAAUUCCCUCCUAAUGAGUGGUUUUACUUUUUUUUUAGUUUGCCAAAUGUUUUGAACCAGUCUUAGACAGCCAAUUUUUGCUGUACUAUAAAGCUUUGGUUCAUUUGAUUUUGAUUGUUGGAUUGCCACUUCAUUCUAUUUCAAAUAAUCAGAAUAUGUAAUAGUAUGCAAGUGAUACUCCUAUUUUGCAAGCCACUAUAUGCCAGUAGUUUAUUAGCGAUAAUUCGGACUCUUCUAGAAUAGUCUCGAAUAGAUGAAAUCAGGAUAUUAGGCUGCAACACUCUUGUUGAUUUUAUAGAAUUCCAGGUAUUUGGUUAUUAAACCUUUCUUAGGGUUAACAUCACUGUAUGAUUGGUUUCCGUGGAUACUGUGCAGCGAUAUGCAAUCCCUUUAAAAAAUAUCUGUGUGGAAGUUAAUUUUGGUGGUAAAAGUGGGUACCCCUUAGCUCAAAAAGAAAAACCAGAGUUCUUUAUAUAGAUAUUGCAUGUUUUAGCCCUAUAUAUUUGCUUUCUUUUCUAAAAGGAACAAUUUUUGUAUGUCUGACUUUUUGAGUUAAAAAUAGACUACAUACGUGUUCAACUUAGAGGGUUUUAUACUUAAACUAUGCCAAUUGGCUCAAGAAGUGGGCAAAGAUGAACGAGCUCUGUAUCUACGUUCAGUAGGACUACAAGCUCUAUCCUAUAUGGUAUUGCUCCUUGUCUUGGUUCUUCCUUUGCUUCUGGAAAUUGCUUAAUUCUUGUUCCAUUCCCAUAAUUCAAUAUGUUUAGGACUGUUCUUAAUAAAAUAUACACAAGAAAAUUUAUUAAAUAUAUAGUAGCACACAAAGAAAAGCACCCCUUAACUAUUUUUUAUAAACACAACUCUUUAUGGAGGAGUAGGACAUAUUUGGGGUGAACUUAUGGUUAUAAGCGGGAGACAUUUAAAUGAAAAAACCUUCUCAAUUUGUAAUCUGCACAUGAUAGAUAAACCCAUCUUAUUAAUUAGAAGUAGAGAUAAUUUAUUUGAAGGAUGGUUUCUUAGGAUUUAUUGUGAAUUAAUAUUAUGGUUGCUGUUGUUCAGUAGUAGUAGAAUAUUUCCAAGAUAUCAAGGUUUUGUUAUUGCUGGUUUUCUUUUCAGAAUUAUUGUCUUAAAUCUAGUAUCAGACUGCUUAAAGAAGCUUACCAAUCAAACAGUUUUGAGUAAACCGUCUUUGACAAAGCAUCUCGGCUCAAAGAAGCCGAGUCCGGGUCGAGUGGUUUUGUAAUAUUGCCAUCAGGAGUAACAAUGACACGCUUGCAAAGUGAGUCCUCUAAUGCUUUCUCAUCACACCUGAACAAAUGGUGAGUCAAAGGACACUAAAGGUGAAACACUGAAACUAGAAGCAUUUGUGGAUGGAUCUAUGAUUUUUACAUGAACAACUCUGUAGCUGUCCGAUGGAAGAGUGGUUUUUCAUCUUUCAGUUUGGAAGAAUCAACUUCAGUCCCUUUGACAAAGUCAAUGUUACUAAGGUGGAGGAUUGCGGCGACCACACGAAAAAUAGCAUCCUGUGUAAGGAAAUUUUGUUAAAUUAAAUGUGUAUAGAAAGAAAUCAAUGCUUCAUUGAAAUAAUAAAAUUUGAUGCACAAAUGUGAUGAUCCUAUACCUGUUCUUCCUGGUUGAUUCCUACAAUAUCCAUUGCAUUUCUGGUCUCCAAGUAUUCUUUUGCAUCAUCUACAUUUGAAACUUCAUAACAGUUUGAUUAAGAUAGUGGAAUUGCUUUGGAUUCCCCAACUUGUACUUCUUGCAUCCUAUUGAGUAAAUUGUAACAGUUAGUCUUGUGAGUGAUAAAUUAUGUUUAAUUUCUUUCAAGAUUGUUAUGGAGAAUUCAAUCACCUCUGAUGGUGCUGAACAAAGCAUGUAAAAGCAGUGAUAGUCUCUCUCCGGGUCGGACACUUGGCAUACUCGUGACCUUUCUAGGAGAUAUGUUCUAAUUGCAGCUCCAGGAAUUUUUCCAUUCUAUAAACACCCCCUCUCUCUCUCUCUCUUUUUUUUAAUGGUGGUUGUUAACCUGUUAUAUAUGAAUUGUGAUGGUGACGGCGAGAUAUAAUAUUGGAGCAUAAAUAAUGGAAGUUGUGCAAGAGUCUUCAAGGGUGGCACCGCCCAGAUGAGAUUUCAACCACGUCUAGGGAGGUACUUGGCUGCAGCUGCAGAGAAUGUUGUUUCUAUACUUGAUGUGAUGACACAAGGAUGCCGAUAUUCAUUAAAGAUUUAGCAUAUAUGAGACAAGUCAAGCAUGGAUAUAAAAUAUGCAAGUAGAUUAACAUCUUUUUAACAAAUAUUAAUUACUAUUUUGUUAUGACAAUUAUUGUCGGAC